Molecule: ribosomal RNA, 267 nt
Filed under: uncultured soil bacterium
Lineage: Bacteria
Description: partial 16S ribosomal RNA
Rfam family: Bacterial small subunit ribosomal RNA
Source: RNAcentral
AGAACGAACGCUGGCGGCAUGCCUAAUACAUGCAAGUCGAACGAACACUUCGGUGUUAGUGGCGCACGGGUGCGUAACGCGUGGGAAUCUGCCCUUGGGUUCGGAAUAACAGUUGGAAACGACUGCUAAUACCGGAUGAUAUCGAAAGAUCAAAGAUUUAUCGCCCAGGGAUGAGCCCGCGUAGGAUUAGCUAGUUGGUGAGGUAAGGCUCACCAAGGCGACGAUCCUUAGCUGGUCUGAGAGAUGAUCAGCCACACUGGGACUGAG